This 544-nucleotide ribosomal RNA is filed under the name uncultured bacterium. RNAcentral's name for it is "bacterial SSU rRNA". It matches the Rfam family "Bacterial small subunit ribosomal RNA", at positions 1 to 524 of the family's 1533-position model. The record is from RNAcentral.
UAGAGUUUGAUCAUGGCUCAGAACGAACGCUGGCGGCGUGCCUAACACAUGCAAGUCGAGCGCGAAAGGGGGGGCAACCCCCCGAGUAGAGCGGCGCACGGGUGAGUAACGCGUGGGUAACCUACCCCCGGGCGGGGGAUAACCACUCGAAAGGGUGGCUAAUACCGCAUGAGACCACGGGGCCUUCGGGCCCUGGGGCCAAAGGCGGCACCGGCUUGCCGGUGCUGUCACCUGGGGAUGGGCCCGCGUACGAUUAGCUAGUUGGUAGGGUAACGGCCUACCAAGGCUGCGAUCGUUCGCUGGUCUGAGAGGAUGACCAGCCACACUGGAACUGGAACACGGUCCAGACUCCUACGGGAGGCAGCAGUGAGGAAUAUUGCGCAAUGGGGGAAACCCUGACGCAGCAACGCCGCGUGGGUGAAGAAGGCCUUCGGGUCGUAAAGCCCUUUCGGACGGGACGAACGCUUCGCGGUGAUAACCCGCGAAGCCUGACGGUACCGUAAGAAGAAGCACCGGCUAACUCCGUGCCAGCAGCCGCGGUAAU